Molecule: long non-coding RNA, 320 nt
Filed under: Musa acuminata (dwarf banana)
Lineage: Eukaryota; Viridiplantae; Streptophyta; Magnoliopsida; Zingiberales; Musaceae
Description: long non-coding RNA (MACU_LNC002663)
Source: RNAcentral
UCUCGUGCGUGGCGUGGGCGAAGAAGGCGGCGAUCUCGCGCUUGGAGUCGUCGGCGGUUCCGGUGUGGCCGAAGGUCGGGUAGGAGCCGGCUGCGGUCAGGAAGUUGUCGCGGGUGUAGAAGCUCUUGCCGGCGCACCCGCCGUCGGCCUGGCCGAUGAUCCCGUCGAAGAAGCUCUGCGUCACGAUGUCGGCCACCGAGACGUCGUUGGAGGGGGUGGAGGAGGAGUAGCACGGUCCCGACUGGCACCCGUCGCCGCAGUAGUCGUCGCCGGUGCCGCAGUAGCCGUACUUGCUGCAGCAGAGGUCGGCAGAGCAGCCG